Non-coding RNA from Sus scrofa (pig), 385 nucleotides. The record is from RefSeq and is a predicted model, not a curated record. Lineage: Eukaryota; Metazoa; Chordata; Mammalia; Artiodactyla; Suidae.
GGAACAGUGUUCUGGUGAAUCGCAACAUGGCUUCUUUUCCUCAGCUUCCUGGCAGAAGCUGGAAGGGAUUUUUCUCUGAUAGUUACCGUGGGACCUUGGUUAAGCUCUUGGAGGUAAAUUUCACAAUAUCCUGGAGUUUUUAACCCUCAAACUUGUCUUCACUGUGUCUCCAGCCACACAUCAAUUACAUCACAGAUUUUCCUACCUUGGCACCGGUUCCUGCGAUGGUUCUGCUCCUGCGUUUCUGCUCUGGCUAAUCCAUGAAAAAAUGCUGUUGAUCACAACAUCCUUUGAGAUGAAAUUGAUUUCCAGAACUUCCUGGAUGCCACCCUUCCAGAGGUCUUCCCUGCAGCUCUUCUCUGGUUUCCAUGAAGUCCUCCAAAUC